Molecule: long non-coding RNA, 473 nt
Filed under: Triticum aestivum (bread wheat)
Lineage: Eukaryota; Viridiplantae; Streptophyta; Magnoliopsida; Poales; Poaceae
Description: long non-coding RNA (TAES_LNC009169)
Source: RNAcentral
UUUAUUUUACUUUAUGAUAAUUCUUUUUGCUAUUAAAGUUUCUAUCAAAAAAAGUUCUUUAUGAAAAUUCUUUUUGCUGUAUUUAGUUUUUUUGUUUUCUUUUUUGCUAUAUUUAUUUUGUUUUGUUUCUACUUACAACAAAAAACUUAUUUAUUUUAUUUUAUUUUGUUUCUAAUUACUUAUUUAUUUUACUUUAUGAUAAUUCUUUUUGCUAUUAAAGUUUCUAUCAAAAAAAGUUCUUUAUGAAAAUUCUUUUUGCUUUUAAUGAUUUUGAACAGAAAAUACUUCGAUAAUUUUAGUGGCAUCAAUUUUAUAUGAUUUUAGUUUCAAUAAUAAUAGAGGUUUCUUAUAAUGUUUUGAACAGAAAAUAAUUUGUUAAUUUUAGUUUCAUAAAUUUUAUUAAAGUUUAUUUUAUUUUGUCGGAACACAAGAAGUCCGGAGUUGUAAUAAGUUAUUAAAAAUAAAAAAGAGGC